RNAcentral lists this ribosomal RNA (497 nucleotides) under uncultured bacterium. RNAcentral describes it as "partial 16S ribosomal RNA". It matches the Rfam family "Bacterial small subunit ribosomal RNA", at positions 28 to 507 of the family's 1533-position model. The record is from RNAcentral.
GAUGAACGCUGGCGGCGUGCCUAAUACAUGCAAGUCGAGCGAACGGACGGGAAGCUUGCUUCUCUGAUGUUAGCGGCGGACGGGUGAGUAACACGUGGAUAACCUACCUAUAAGACUGGGAUAACUUCGGGAAACCGGAGCUAAUACCGGAUCAUAUUUUGAACCGCAUGGUUCAAAAGUGAAAGACGGUCUUGCCGUCACUUAUCGAUGGAUCCGCGCUGCAUUAGCUAGUUGGUAAGGUAACGGCUUACCAAGGCAACGAUGCAUAGCCGACCUGAGAGGGUGAUCGGCCACACUAGAACUGAGACACGGUCCAGACGCCUACGGGAGGCAGCAGUAGGGAAUCUUCCGCAAUGGGCGAAAGCCUGACGGAGCAACGCCGCGUGAGUGAUGAAGGUCUUCGGAUCGUAAAACUCUGUUAUUAGGGAAGAACAUAUGUGUAAGUAACUGUGCACAUCUUGACGGUACCUAAUCAGAAAGCCACGGCUAACUACGUG